GAGUUUGAUCAUGGCGUCAGGACGAACGCUGGCGGCGUGCUUAACACAUGCAAGUCGGAGGGGAAACGACAUCGAAAGCUUGUCUUUUGAGUGGGCGUCGACCGGCGUACGGGUGAGUAACGCGUAUCCAACCUGCCCACCACUUGGGGAUAACCUUGCGAAAGUAAGACUAAUACCCAAUGAUAUCUCUAGAAGACAUCUGAAAGAGAUUAAAGAUUUAUCGGUGAUGGAUGGGGAUGCGUCUGAUUAGCUUGUUGGCGGGGUAACGGCCCACCAAGGCAACGAUCAGUAGGGGUUCUGAGAGGAAGGUCCCCCACAUUGGAACUGAGACACGGUCCAAACUCCUACGGGAGGCAGCA
RNAcentral lists this ribosomal RNA (359 nucleotides) under uncultured bacterium. RNAcentral's name for it is "bacterial SSU rRNA". It matches the Rfam family "Bacterial small subunit ribosomal RNA", at positions 9 to 353 of the family's 1533-position model. The record is from RNAcentral.